Molecule: non-coding RNA, 234 nt
Organism: Maylandia zebra (zebra mbuna)
Lineage: Eukaryota; Metazoa; Chordata; Actinopteri; Cichliformes; Cichlidae
Source: RefSeq, a predicted model, not a curated record
UUCUGCUGGUGAGACGAUGUGUUCACAGGAAACCUGAAGAUGGAAAAGAAGCUGAAGAAGAUGACAUCAUCACUUAUGUCAUGUACUGUGAUGUCAAAACUUCAAAAACAGCCAAUCAGACGACGCAGAGACAGAAAUUCAGCUGCAGUCGACUCAGCAGUGAAAACUGAAGAUGUCAGUUAUGAACAAACCAACAUCAGAACAAGGAGGCCCAGGUACAACUGCUCUUUAUCU